AAAUUGAAGAGUUUGAUCAUGGCUCAGAUUGAACGCUGGCGGCAGGCCUAACACAUGCAAGUCGAGCGGAAACGAGUUGUCUGAACCUUCGGGAGACGAUAACGGCGUCGAGCGGCGGACGGGUGAGUAAUGCCUAGGAAAUUGCCCUGAUGUGGGGGAUAACCAUUGGAAACGAUGGCUAAUACCGCAUGAUGCCUACGGGCCAAAGAGGGGGACCUUCGG
This 222-nucleotide ribosomal RNA is filed under the name Vibrio parahaemolyticus. RNAcentral describes it as "partial 16S ribosomal RNA". It matches the Rfam family "Bacterial small subunit ribosomal RNA", at positions 1 to 220 of the family's 1533-position model. Lineage: Bacteria; Pseudomonadati; Pseudomonadota; Gammaproteobacteria; Vibrionales; Vibrionaceae. The record is from RNAcentral.